AUGUCGACCGUCGUCGCAGCACCGGCUCGUAGCAUGGCGGCGCCGUCGCAGCACAUCGAUGGUCGUCGAAGCACUGGCUCGCAACAUGAUGGUGCCUCCGAAGCAUCGUUGGAGCAGCUGGGGCACCGUCGCAGCAUCGCCGCGCGAUGGAAGCAACCCGGGCCACUCGCGCCAUGGAAGCAAUCCUGCAUCAUUGAGGCGGUGGAGUUUUUUUCCAGCUCAUUGGUGGAGCUUGUUGCGGCGGUGGUGGAGGUGGUGGUGGAGAAGUUGGGGCAGUGUGGUGGAGGCGGUGGAGGUGAAGCUCCGGCAGUUUGGUGGAAUUUCCCGCUCCGAUUCCGGUGA
RNAcentral lists this ribosomal RNA (342 nucleotides) under Triticum aestivum (bread wheat). RNAcentral describes it as "partial small subunit ribosomal RNA". Lineage: Eukaryota; Viridiplantae; Streptophyta; Magnoliopsida; Poales; Poaceae. The record is from RNAcentral.